RNAcentral lists this ribosomal RNA (570 nucleotides) under Triticum aestivum (bread wheat). Its description in RNAcentral is "partial small subunit ribosomal RNA". Lineage: Eukaryota; Viridiplantae; Streptophyta; Magnoliopsida; Poales; Poaceae. The record is from RNAcentral.
AUGAAACUAUUAAAUGAAUUCCAGGCUGGGAAGUUAGACAUAACAAGAUUGAAUUAUGGAAUCAUCACCUUAAUUCCAAAAACUGAUGAUGCCAAACAAAUACAAAAAUUUAGGCCAAUUUGUUUGCUAAAUGUCAGCUUCAAAAUCAUUACUAAGGUGUUGAUGAACAAGCUUAGUGCAGUAAUUAAACUCAUCAUAUUACCAACACAGGCUGCCUUUAUAAAAGGUGGAUAUAUAAUGGAGGGGAUUGUAGUACUGCAUGAAGCCCUUAACACCAUCCAUCAUAAAAAACAGAGUGCUGUGUUGUUCAAAGUGGACUUUGAAAAAGCAUAUGACAAUAUUAAAUGGCCUUUUGUGUAUAGAAUGCUGAAAAUGAAACAAUUCCCAGAGAAAUGGUGUGAUAUGGUUAUGCACACCAUGAUAGGUGGGCGGGUUGGUAUUAAAGUUAAUGACAGAAUUGGCCCAUACUUUAAAACCCACAAAGGAUUAAGACAACAAGAUGCCAUGUCUCCUUUACUGUUUGACAUAGCUGCUGAUGACCUGGCAAUUAUCCUAGAUAAAGCAAAAUAG